This 429-nucleotide ribosomal RNA is filed under the name Bacteroidota bacterium. Its description in RNAcentral is "Bacteroidetes bacterium partial 16S ribosomal RNA". It matches the Rfam family "Bacterial small subunit ribosomal RNA", at positions 355 to 776 of the family's 1533-position model. The record is from RNAcentral. Lineage: Bacteria; Pseudomonadati; Bacteroidota.
UAGGGAAUCUUCGGCAAUGGGGGGAACCCUGACCGAGCAACGCCGCGUGAGUGAAGAAGGUUUUCGGAUCGUAAAGCUCUGUUGUUAAGGAAGAACGAGUGUGAGAAUGGAAAGUUCAUGCUGUGACGGUACUUAACCAGAAAGGGACGGCUAACUACGUGCCAGCAGCCGCGGUAAUACGUAGGUCCCGAGCGUUGUCCGGAUUUAUUGGGCGUAAAGCGAGCGCAGGCGGUUAGAAAAGUCUGAAGUGAAAGGCAGUGGCUCAACCAUUGUAGGCUUUGGAAACUGUUUAACUUGAGUGCAGAAGGGGAGGGGGGAAUUCCAUGUGUAGCGGUGAAAUGCGUAGAUAUAUGGAGGAACACCGGUGGCGAAAGCGGCUCUCUGGUCUGUAACUGACGCUGAGGCUCGAAAGCGUGGGGAGCGAACAGG